GUGCCAGCAGCCGCGGUAAAACGUAGGAGGCAAGCGUUAUCCGGAUUCACUGGGCGUAAAGCGCGUGCAGGCGGUUCGGUAAGUUGGGCGUGAAAUCUCCUGGCUUAACUAGGAGAGGUCGUCCAAUACUACCGGGCUAGAGAGUGGUAGAGGAAGAUGGAAUUCCCGGUGUAGUGGUGAAAUGCGUAGAUAUCGGGAGGAACACCAGUGGCGAAAGCGAUCUUCUGGACCAUUUCUGACGCUCAGACGCGAAAGCUAGGGUAGUAAACGGGAUUAGAGACCCCGGUAAUCCUAGCCGUAAACGAUGUAGACUUGGCGUCGGUGGCUUAAACUCCAUCGGUGCCGUAGCAAACGCGAUAAGUCUACCGCCUGGGGACUACGAUCGCAAGAUUAAA
RNAcentral lists this ribosomal RNA (395 nucleotides) under uncultured bacterium. RNAcentral's name for it is "bacterial SSU rRNA". It matches the Rfam family "Bacterial small subunit ribosomal RNA", at positions 505 to 898 of the family's 1533-position model. The record is from RNAcentral.